This 103-nucleotide ribosomal RNA is filed under the name Chaetospermum camelliae. RNAcentral describes it as "partial 28S ribosomal RNA". Lineage: Eukaryota; Fungi; Basidiomycota; Agaricomycetes; Sebacinales; Sebacinaceae. The record is from RNAcentral.
UCGAACGUUUAGCUCUGUGCUUCUAACUGUCCCCUUGGGACUAAGCUUCGGCUUAUUUUGACAACUUGACCUCAAAUCGGGUAGGACUACCCGCUGAACUUAA